AGUCCCAAGCCAGCAGCCCUUGCCAACAUGCAGCACGCAAACAGAAGAAUCGUUGCAAGAGUUCUGGGCCGCAAAUAUUGAUGGGGAGGAGGAUCAUCCGGUAUGCGAUAUUUCAAACGUGCGGACGCCGUCUCCAACCGCAAGUGAUGCAGCCCGUCUCACGGAUGGGCUUGAAGCAGCUCGCCGAUCUAAAGAUCCACAGCCGAGUAACACGCCUUCUGCCAGCGAGCGAGUUGUCGACCAAGCUGAAACUUCGGACGUCGGCGCAGAUAGUGAGAAAUAUUUCAGCUGGUUUAGUGGGGCAGCAUGUCUGCUCGAAGUGUGGUUUUUUCGUACCACGUUCAGUUUGUUUGCACAACAUACGAGAACUGUACAUAAUGGCACUGUGACUUCAUUUGUGUGCAGCAUGCGUGGAAGUAAUUAUUUCUUUCUGAAACAUUAUCAGGAGCACCACAAAAGAAGUAAGAUUAAACAUUCGGAAAGUAAUAAGCCACGGAAAGCAGUUCAUUCAGAUGGUGAAAUAAUUGAUCGUGAUGUCGUUCCUAUGUCACUAGAGCAGCAGCCGAACAACUAUGGCAUCGUAUCUAGUAUGAUGCUGGGCCUGUGCCGGCGACUAGAAGGUCGACAUAAGUGUCCGAAAACAUGCAUUGACGACGUCGUUCAAGAAGUAAGCAAUAUGUUUGCCGUAGCUGAAUUUCCCAUAGACACAGCUAAUAUUAAAACAGACAGGCUUCGGAAGCGUUGCUACGAGAACGCUGGCAUAUACGUGCCUCCAACUGAAGUGCAGCUCGAAGGAACAAAAAAUGCAUACAUUGUAAAACUUGAAGGUCUCCUAGCCAAUCUUUUGAAGCACCCGGAGAUAGUCACCCACGUGAGAAACCUUCGUCAAAGCAAGCAUAAUUCUUUACUACAAGACUUUUGUGAUGGUAGUAGAUUUCGUUCUCACCCAAUUUUUCAGAAGCAAAAUAUUAUCCUGCUUAGCCUCUACUACGACGACAUUAAAUUAGCGAAUCCUAUUGGUAUGAAGAGAGGAAGCCGAGGAAAACGUAGUAUGUUCUACGUAUCGCUUCUAAAUCUCCCACCUCAUGAACGCUUCAA
Non-coding RNA from Dermacentor albipictus, 1098 nucleotides. The record is from RefSeq and is a predicted model, not a curated record. NCBI's taxonomy places the organism in Eukaryota, Metazoa, Arthropoda, Arachnida, Ixodida, Ixodidae.